Molecule: RNA transcript, 1935 nt
Organism: Diachasma alloeum
Lineage: Eukaryota; Metazoa; Arthropoda; Insecta; Hymenoptera; Braconidae
Gene name: probable cytochrome P450 305a1
Exons: 8
Source: RefSeq, a predicted model, not a curated record
GGCUAGUCCCAUCUCAGUAGCACAAGUGCAUCACUCGCCGAAAUUUCAACGUUCGUGAAAGGGAAUUAAAGGGAAUAAGAGACACAGCAACAGUGAAAUCGAACGAUUAUGGUUAUCAAUAUAAUUUAUCUGAUAGCUUUAUGCCUCAUUCUGACUGUUAUUAAACUCCGGCAAAAGUCAGUGGACCCUAAACCAGGAGAGAAGAUUCCAGGUCCAUUCCCAUGGCCCGUAUUAGGUAAUUUGCGACUGCUGCGGAGAAUGUGCAAAAAAUUCGGUGGACAACACAAAGCGUUCCUCGAACUCUCCAAGGACUACAACAGUGAUAUAAUUAAUUUACGUCUCGGAAGUUCAAAUGUCAUCGUUGUCUGCGGAUUCGAUGCUGUCACGAAAAUUUUACGCGACGAGACGUUCGACGCUAGACCGUGGAAUGAGUUUUCAAAAAUUCGUAAUAUGGGAAUGCAGAAAGGAAUUACGAUGCACGAAGGCCCCGAGUGGCGGGAAAUGCGCUCUUGGUUGGUCAGGUCUCUCAGAGACUUGGGAUUUGGACGUGAAGAAAUGUCAGAUAAGAUUAGAGACGAAUUGGUGAUUAUUCUCGAGAAUUUGAAAAUGAAGGGCGGUGGAAUCGUAACAAUGAAGCCCAUUAUUGCACCGGCUGUUAUUAACGUCAUCUGGAGUGUGGCGACGGGGAAGAGAAUUGAAGAUGAAAAACGUUUAAGGUAUUUUCUUGAUCUCAUGGACCGUCGAGCGAGAGCUUUCGACAUAGCGGGAGGAAUGUUAUCAGUAUUUCCAUGGAUAAGACAUUUUGCGCCAAAGACUUCCGGUUAUGAACUACUAAUCACCCUCAAUGAAGAACUUAAAUCGUUUUUAAUGGAAACCAUAAACGAGCACAAAAAACAUUACACACCGGGCAAAGAGAUGGAUCUGAUAGACAUGUUUCUCGCGGAAAUGUAUAAUGGAAAAGGCCCAGAGGCUGGUUUCACGGAGAACCAAUUAUUAAUGAUAUUAAUCGACUUGUUCCUUGCUGGAUCUCACACAACUCAGACAACACUAGAUUUUAUGUUUUUCUAUAUGACACUCCAUCAAGAUGCUCAGGAGAAGGUGCAUAAGGAACUUGAUUCUGUAAUUAGUUGUGGGCGAUUGCCGGAGCAGACAGAUCGACCAUUACUUCCAUACACUGAAUCUGUCAUGACCGAGUCCCAGAGGCUACGACUGGUCACACCGAUAAUUGGGCCCCGACGGGCGUUAAGUGACGCGACACUCGAUGGCUACAAAAUACCAAAAGGCUCUUGCAUUCUCAUGAAUCUCUACAGUGUCCACACUAAUCCUGAUGAUUUCGAAGACCCAGAGGCAUUCAAACCCGAGAGAUUCAUGGAGAACGGUGCGCAUGUGCCCCACAAAAAGCUCAUAUUUUUCGGCGGAGGUCACAGACGCUGUCCAGGCGAGACUGUCGCAAGAUCCGCAGUGUUUCUGCUGUUUGCUGGAAUCAUGAGAAAUUACAAAUUGCUUCCUGUCCCGGGAGCAUAUCUCGAUGUGGAGCCACAGCACGGGCUCACGAUAUCGCCGAAACCGUAUGAGAUACUUCUCGUGCCUCGUUCGACAUGAUUAUUCCAUUCACAUUUGUGAUAAUUCAAGAGUAUUAGUUGAUAAAUUAUUCAUUUUUUCGUGGAAUUAAUUUAAUGAGAUAUGGCCGUGGUGACACUGUGAAUCCAUCUAUUCCGUCUAGUCUGGGGAGUCCUUGAUCCUCUGGUGCUUCUAUAUCGAAAUUGUGGAUUAUGGAGGAAAAGAAGAGGAACAGCGACGCUCUUGCCAAUAUUUCUCCCAAACAUCGUCGUUUUCCUGUGGAAAAAAAUCAUUUCGAGCAUUCGGAAACAAUUCUAAUAAUUAGUAACAACAGAAAUAGUUUUUUAAAUUAUUAAAAAAAAUUAUUUACCCAAA